GACAAAAAGAAAAAAAAAAUUAUGUGUCCAAUUUUAACUGUCCGUCUUAUAUNAAUUUUUUUUAUAAUUCGUAUUUUUAUUGUUGUUAGAUGAUAAAACAUGAUUAAUAUUUUUGUAUGUAACUUGUCUUUUUAAUUUUUUUCAUAAUUUUUUCAAAUAAAACGGAUAGUCAAACGUUGGGCACGAAAACU
This 191-nucleotide microRNA precursor is filed under the name Oryza sativa Indica Group (long-grained rice). Its description in RNAcentral is "MIR812 microRNA precursor family". It matches the Rfam family "MIR812 microRNA precursor family". Lineage: Eukaryota; Viridiplantae; Streptophyta; Magnoliopsida; Poales; Poaceae. The record is from Rfam by way of RNAcentral.